UGUUGCAAGGUUAAGCGGAAAAAGCGGAGCCGUAGCGAAAGCGAGUCUGAAUAGGGCGCAUAAGUAACAGGUCGUAGACCCGAAACCAGGUGAUCUACCCAUGUCCAGGAUGAAGGUAAGGUAAUACUUACUGGAGGUCCGAACCCACGCACGUUGAAAAGUGCGGGGAUGAGGUGUGGGUAGCGGAGAAAUUCCAAUCGAACUUGGAGAUAGCUGGUUCUCUCCGAAAUAGCUUUAGGGCUAGCCUCGAGGUAAAGAGUCAUGGAGGUAGAGCACUGUUUGGACUAGGGGCCCUUCUCGGGUUACCGAAUUCAGAUAAACUCCGAAUGCCAUGUACUUAUACUCGGGAGUCAGACUGCGAGUGAUAAGAUCCGUAGUCGAAAGGGAAACAGCCCAGACCACCAGUUAAGGUCCCCAAAUAUAUGUUAAGUGGAAAAGGAUGUGGGGUUGCUUAGACAACCAGGAUGUUGGCUUAGAAGCAGCCACCAUUGAAAGAGUGCGUAAUAGCUCACUGGUCGAGUGACCCCGCGCCGAAAAUGUACCGGGGCUAAACAUAUUACCGAAACUGUGGAUGAACCUCUUUAGAGGUUCGUGGUAGGAGAGCGUUCUAAGGGCGGUGAAGUCAGACCGGAAGGACUGGUGGAGCGCUUAGAAGUGAGAAUGCCGGUAUGAGUAGCGAAAGAAGGGUGAGAAUCCCUUCCACCGAAUAUCUAAGGUUUCCUGAGGAAGGCUCGUCCGCUC
Molecule: ribosomal RNA, 741 nt
Filed under: Listeria monocytogenes
Lineage: Bacteria; Bacillati; Bacillota; Bacilli; Caryophanales; Listeriaceae
Description: partial 23S ribosomal RNA
Rfam family: Bacterial large subunit ribosomal RNA
Source: RNAcentral